Molecule: small nuclear RNA, 163 nt
Organism: Cricetulus griseus (Chinese hamster)
Lineage: Eukaryota; Metazoa; Chordata; Mammalia; Rodentia; Cricetidae
Gene: U1
Rfam family: U1 spliceosomal RNA
About the family: U1 is a small nuclear RNA (snRNA) component of the spliceosome (involved in pre-mRNA splicing). Its 5' end forms complementary base pairs with the 5' splice junction, thus defining the 5' donor site of an intron.
Source: Ensembl
AUACUCAGCUGGCAGGUGGAGCUACUAGGACCGUGAAGGUAGUUUCUCAGAGUGAGGUUUAUCCAUUGCACUCCCAAUGUGCUGUCCCUGGUGAUUUCCCCAAACAUGGGAAAGUUGACUAUAUAAUUUUUGGUAGUGGGGGGGCUGUGUUCAUGAUCUUAUC